GCUCAACCGGGGAGGGUCAUUGGAAACUGGGGAACUUGAGUGCAGAAGAGGAGAGUGGAAUUCCACGUGUAGCGGUGAAAUGCGUAGAGAUGUGGAGGAACACCAGUGGCGAAGGCGACUCUCUGGUCUGUAACUGACGCUGAGGCGCGAAAGCGUGGGGAGCGAACAGGGUUAGAUACCCUGGUAGUCCACGCCGUAAACGAUGAGUGCUAAGUGUUAGAGGGUUUCCGCCCUUUAGUGCAGCAGCAAACGCAUUAAGCACUCCGCCUGGGGAGUACGGUCGCAAGACUGAAACUCAAAGGAAUUGACGGGGGCCCGCACAAGCGGUGGAGCAUGUGGUUUAAUUCGAAGCAACGCGAAGAACCUUACCAGGUCUUGACAUCCUCUGGCAACCCUAGAGAUAGGGCUUCCCCUUCGGGGGCAGAGUGACAGGUGGUGCAUGGUUGUCGUCAGCUCGUGUCGUGAGAUGUUGGGUUAAGUCCCGCAACGAGCGCAACCCUUGAUCUUAGUUGCCAGCAUUCAGUUGGGCACUCUAAGGUGACUGCCGGUGACAAACCGGAGGAAGGUGGGGAUGACGUCAAAUCAUCAUGCCCCUUAUGACCUGCGCUACACACGUGCUACAAUGGGCAGAACAAAG
RNAcentral lists this ribosomal RNA (637 nucleotides) under uncultured bacterium. RNAcentral describes it as "bacterial SSU rRNA". It matches the Rfam family "Bacterial small subunit ribosomal RNA", at positions 607 to 1244 of the family's 1533-position model. The record is from RNAcentral.